ACACAUCAAAGUUAAGGACACCAUGUCCUUAACUUUUACAAUGCACACAUCAAAGUUAAGGACACCAUGUCCUUAAGUUUUUCACUGCACACAUCCAAGUUAAAGACACCAUGUCCUUAACAUUUUCACUGCACACAUCAAAGUUAAGGAUAGAUUGUCCUUAACUUUUACAAAGCACACAUCAAAGUUAAGGACACCAUGUCCUUAAGUUUUAUAAUACACACAUCCAAGUUAAGGACACCAUAUCCUUAACAUUUUCACUGCACACAUCCAAGUUAAGGACAACUUGUCCUUAACUUUUACAAUGCACACAUCAAAGUUAAGGACACCAUGUCCUUAACUUUUACAAUGCACACAUCCAAGUUAAGGACACCAUGUCCUUAACUUUUUCACUGCACACAUCAAAUUUAAGGACAUCAUGUCCUUAACUUUUA
Molecule: long non-coding RNA, 434 nt
Filed under: Nicotiana tabacum (common tobacco)
Lineage: Eukaryota; Viridiplantae; Streptophyta; Magnoliopsida; Solanales; Solanaceae
Description: long non-coding RNA (NTAB_LNC015948)
Source: RNAcentral